GGGGGGGCGACGCGGGGAACCGAGAGGAGCAGCUGGGACGCCGGAGAUACCGAAACAGGAGAGAGGAAGAGAAAAGAUAGAGACUGAGAAUCGGAGGAGGCAGAGAAACGAACAGAGGAGAGAGAAGGAUAGAAAGAGGAACAGUUGAUUCAAAGGAAACCCCGCCAUGGCAGUGCCUUGGCACCGGCUGCGACCCUCUCCUCUGGUACCCGGAAAGGGUCUUCGGCUCCAAUUCUGCCCCCGGCCGGCCGGGAGCUGCCGGCCGCCCGGGGCGGAACCUGAGAGUGUUGGCCCAGGAGGUCCUCGACAUCGGGGGACCCCUCUCCAUCCCAGUCCCCGUCAGCAGACCAAGUUAGAAUCCAGCCUGCCUGGCUCUUAGCUGUGUCGUGACCUCUGGCAAGUUACCCCAGUCCUGGAGAUCCCACGAACUGUGUGGUAAGGGGCUUUCCCACGGGGCAGCGCUGGGGUGGGGGACAGCAGCCCUUUCACAGAUGGGGAAGCCCCUCCUCAAAGACGGGACGUGGCUUGGCCCAGGUCACGCAGCGGGUAGGCUGCAGAGUUGGCCAAAGCCCUGCUGUGACGCGGUAACCUGCGUCCAUCCCUGUGGGGCUGCCUGUUGGUGUCCCGGGCUCCUUGCAGGAAGACACGGAAACCAUCUUGGAUGGAAGUGUCGUGCUGCUCCCCUCAGGCAAAGACACCCAGGCCAAGACCAUUUCCUGCCCUGAAACUUGGGGCUCUCUGAAGAGAAAGCUUGGUGUACCUCGAGUUGUCCGAGGAUGGGCACCUUGACAAGACUAGGGACGAGUGAUGAAGGUGGAUUUUUGCCAUCCAGAAACUCCCAAGGGUUUCUUCCUUCUCCCAGCUUCCUUCCCAGCACCUAGUUUUCCAUUUUGCCUUCUGAUUUUGUAUAUUUUACUCCCACCCAAAAAAAACAAAAGGAAGGGCCCAAAACACGGUCUAAGAAAAAGUGGCCUGUUCUCCUUCUCAAAGCCUGAAAAAUCACAUUUUUCUGACCAUUUGGAUUCAUUUCCGCAAGGACUUGUUGGGACCAAAUACAACAUUUCCUAUAGAAAAUACCUGCUUCGGGAGGGAUCUGUUAUGCCCGGUGGCCCUUCCAUCUCUGUCUCACCUGGACUGGGAACUCUUCAAGGAAACGUCCAGAUUGGGGGCUUCCUUUCAGCAGGGAUGAUGGGAAGUCUUUUGAUAAACUGCAAUGAUUUCCAGGCUGCCCCCCACCCGCUGAUGUACACACUGUUGGCUGCUCUCCUGGAAAAUGGGGAUUAAGCUACGGACAGAGACACAAUCCCUGUAGUCAGUGAGUUUCCAGCCUUCCUCUGGGAAGUGUGGGAAAUGCUGAUGCCCACCUCAACGGGUUCUGAGAGAUUCUGAUGAGAUAAUACAAGUAAAAUGCUUAGGCUGGGCUCGAGCACACAGCGAAUGCCAGAUCAGUGUUUUAGUUGCUAUUAUAUGUCCGGGGGUGGGGGGCGGUGUUUGAAAGAGCAUCUGUGGCUCAGGAUUUCGACAACCACACUACCAAGAUGCUGGAAAGCAGGUGCUGGGGGGAAAUAGGGCGAGGAGGAAUGCAAGAAUUCUAGAAUGCUGGUCAUGUCCCCAUGUCGGUUUGGUUUAGCUCAGGGUGUUUUUCCACAUCACUUAUUAGGCAAACUUUUAAAACGAGAAACUGACAUUCCCUUGCAGAGGCCGAGGGAGGAACUAGAAAGAUUUCAUUCCGCUCCACAGUCAGGCCUGUGAGGCGGAGAGCCCUCCAAAUAUGGCAGCUUUGAGAAGAACAGGAAAAGGGCGUAGGAUGCAGAGCGUCGGCCAUGAUUGGAGAGGAUGAACCCAGCUCGCUCCCCGCGGUGUCUACACUGCACCAUCCUUCACGGCUCCGGGGUCCGAGGUUGGCCCGCGCACCACAGCACUUGCACGCCCCCGACGGGGUUGGUUUUCUCUAUCGGCUUCCUCUCUCCCUCCCAUUUCACUUGGCAAAUCCCUCCACUUCAUCCGUGAUU
Molecule: long non-coding RNA, 2012 nt
Organism: Neofelis nebulosa (Clouded leopard)
Lineage: Eukaryota; Metazoa; Chordata; Mammalia; Carnivora; Felidae
Exons: 4
Source: RefSeq, a predicted model, not a curated record